CCAGCCACCGCGGUCACACGAUUGACCCUAGCUAAUAGAGAUCGGCGUAGAGGGUGUUUAAGAUCUGACACAAUAAAGCUAAACUCCAUCUAAACUGUAAAACCCUAGCUAAUGUAAAAUAAACUACGAAAGUGGCUUUAAAGCUUCUGAACACACAAUAGCCAGGACCCAAACUGGGAUUAGACACCCCACUAUGCUUGGCCCUAAACCUCAGUAGUUAAACAACAAAACUACUCGCCAGAAUACUACGAGCAACGGCUUAAAACUCAAAGGACUUGACGGUGCUUUACAUCCCCCUAGAGGAGCCUGUUCCAUAAUCGAUAAACCCCGAUCCACCCUACCCUCUCUUGCUCAGCCUAUAUACCGCCAUCUUCAGCAAACCCUGAUAAAGGUUACAAAGUGAGCGCAAACGCCUCCCCGCAAAAACGUUAGGUC
RNAcentral lists this ribosomal RNA (435 nucleotides) under Macaca leonina (Northern pig-tailed macaque). RNAcentral's name for it is "partial 12S ribosomal RNA". It matches the Rfam family "Bacterial small subunit ribosomal RNA", at positions 508 to 1191 of the family's 1533-position model. Lineage: Eukaryota; Metazoa; Chordata; Mammalia; Primates; Cercopithecidae. The record is from RNAcentral.